AGUGAACGCUGGCGGUAGGCCUAACACAUGCAAGUCGAACGGCAGCACAGUAAGAGCUUGCUCUUACGGGUGGCGAGUGGCGGACGGGUGAGGAAUACAUCGGAAUCUACUUUUUCGUGGGGGAUAACGUAGGGAAACUUACGAUAAUACCGCAUACGACGUACGGGUGAAAGCAGGAGAUCUUCGGACCUUGCGCGAUUGAUUGAGCCGAUGUCGGAUUAGCUAGUUGGCGGGGUAAAGGCCCACCAAGGCGACGAUCCGUAGCUGGUCUGAGAGGAUGAUCAGCCACACUGGAACUGAGACACGGUCCAGACUCCUACGGGAGGCAGCAGUGGGGAAUAUUGGACAAUGGGCGCAAGCCUGAUCCAGCCAUACCGCGUGAGUGAAGAAGGCCUUCGGGUUGUAAAGCCCUUUUGUUGGGAAAGAAAAGCAGCAGGUUAAUACCCCGCUGUUCUGACGGUACCCAAAGAAUAAGCACCGGCUAACUUCGUG
This 492-nucleotide ribosomal RNA is filed under the name uncultured bacterium. Its description in RNAcentral is "partial 16S ribosomal RNA". It matches the Rfam family "Bacterial small subunit ribosomal RNA", at positions 29 to 507 of the family's 1533-position model. The record is from RNAcentral.